UUGGUCGAAUAGAACAUUUGGUCUUUUUAUUCACUGAUUUCCAAUUUACACAUUUGAACAGCAAACACUCAAUAAUUCUCUUGACUAAAUGAUUAAAUUCAGAAAUCAUUCAGCCAAAUACACAACAGCACAUACAAGUCCGCACGUCCAACAUCAACUAAAACAAGCAAAAACAAAUACACAAGCACGAUACACAAGCACAUACAAGUGUGCUUACAAGCAAAAACAGAUACACAAGCACCAAAACAUGGUGCAACAUCAACUAAAACUGUGGUGCGCAUCUCCAUGCCUCUUCCGAUCUUCCGUCACAGCAACAGCAGCCCAAACAACAUUAGAUCCUGAUCCAGAUCACCAAAAAGAAACAUUAUUAAAUGUUUAGAGACAAUGCCAUCAACAUGAGGCGGUAAUCCAACUUAACACUUUGUCAACAUAUUUUACAUAUGCAAAUAACUAAUUAAGCUUAUACUGUAUAAGUUUAAGAUCCAAAUGCAAUGUGAAAUUGAAUUGCCAAAUAGUAGCAUGGUACAUUGGUACAAGUGCAGGUCGUACAAUGAGCGUCACCGUAACAGAUUCACCUGAAGAAAAAUACUACUCUACUACCACUACCAUCGAUUCAACUGACAGGAUCUAACAAUACUAGUGAGCGCACAGAGACUAACAUCACAAGGCAGGAGAGAUAGAGGGAACAGGGACCUGAUGAUGAUAGUGUCGACGAUGAUCGGAUUGGGUUAGCAUCAUUGAGGAGGUGGAUGAUUUACACACAUUUGUCAUCCAAAGUAAACUCCUGCAUGAUUAAAAAAACUACAUCAAAACUUCUUCCAGUCAAUCAAACAAUAAAGAUCAGUGUGGGUUAUAUAGAAGAGAAGAGAUCGGUGUCCCUAGGAAGCACAACAAAUGCUAAAAAUCGUAACUAGACAAUUAAUAAUUGUAUCCUUUUGUACAAGCACAUACGAAUAGAUAACAUUUUUGGUACAACAGAGCAACUCCAUAUGAGGAGGAAAAGGGUUGUGUGAUGAAAAGCUUACAAACUUGACAAUCUCGCCACAUUGUAAACCAGAUAUUAGUAUGAGGAAGAAAUAAUAAUCUCUCGCCACGAUCGACUCUUGUAACUACUGUACGCAGCUCUAUAUGUACCAUGUACUGAACACUAAGGACUUAACAUGACACAACAGACACCAGCUACAAAUCCCAGGCAAUAUCUACUAGCACAGUUAACCAGAACAAUUACAAACAGAGUAGGAAAUCAUGAAUGUGUAAAUGCAUGAAUGGUUCUUUAGAUCAACUUUAAAGCUAGCAGCAAGCAUGUUUAGACAACUUAACAACAUUAGUAAUACUACUUCAGAUUUGGACUAGUAGAAGGCCAGGCAGAAUUCUGAGAACUUUAUUGAAUUCAUUCAAUAGAGGAUAGCACAAACAAAAAACAAACUGUCAAAAUGAGUCUUUGUUCUUAACAGUACAGAGCAAUCAUGACUGGAAUUGUAGAUGUUCUGUCGGUUAUACUAUAUUAAACUGAGCCAAUUAUUGUAGGUGAAAGUAAUGCUCCUAGUAUAUCAUCAUCAUUAACAUCAAACAAUUCUGAAUGUAAUCAGAGGAAGCACAGCCCAAUCAUGUGCAAUCAACUCAUAAUAGAAGGGUACAGAUGAUAUCCAAAUACAAGAACUUGUUUACUCCUGCAGAUUUGCUUGCAUGUUCAGAAUCUGCAAAUAUUCAGAAGCAUGUUCAAUAUACUUACUAAAAAAUACUGUUAAAUGUUGACAAGUUCAAUCUUGUUAAAUACUCCAAGCAAAAUUACUCCACACAUGUACAGUUCAAUCUUGUUAAAUACUCUAAGAAAAAUUACUGGAGUACUGGAGUACUACAAGUUAAAUGUAAUCCAAGCACAUUGAGAAGUUAACAGUAGUGCUGCUAACUUGGAGUAGCUUUGACUAUGUGCAAAGCAAGAUGGAGGGUCUAGCUUACUGCUGCUACUCCACAUAUCAAAUUUUACUUAACAGAGCAAGAUGGAGUAACCCAAAAAAAUUAACAGAGCAAGCAAAUGUACUCCAAAUGGCAGUUCACCAGAGAUUUUCAAGUUAAAAAUACUCCCAGGGGUAAACAACAAUGACAUGGACGAAGUAAAGGAUGGAUGUUGUAAAUUAAUCCAGUAAUUCUUUUUUGUUCUCAUAUUUUUCACCCUCGAGACACUGCCUAGAGCGCUUACAAGAUGACAAAGUUAAUUUUGCAUAACACAUAUGGAUUCUUAUCUUCUUCAGUAAGAGGGGCACAUUUACAGCUAAGCACGAUGAAAGGGACCAUCCAAUUAAAUUCCAUUCUUAUCUUCUUCAGUAAGGACAGGCAAAACAUCCCAGCAUAUCUCAAGUCGAUGAAUUAUUCUAGCAAUAACCAAAUUGGAAACAUCCCUCGUUGUUCCAUUUAACCAUGCUACAAGACAGUAGAAGAAUCA
RNAcentral lists this long non-coding RNA (2443 nucleotides) under Triticum aestivum (bread wheat). RNAcentral's name for it is "long non-coding RNA (TAES_LNC008429)". Lineage: Eukaryota; Viridiplantae; Streptophyta; Magnoliopsida; Poales; Poaceae. The record is from RNAcentral.